AGCAGCCGCGGUAAUUCCAGCUCCAAUAGCGUAUAUUAAAGUUGCUGCAGUUAAAAAGCUCGUAGUUGAAUUUCGGGACCAUCAUGUCGGUCGUGCCUCGGUACGUACUGGUAUUGUUGGUUUCUCCCUUCUGACGAACCAUGAUGUCAUUUAUUUGGUGUUGUGGGGAAUCAGGACUGUUACUUUGAAAAAUUAGAGUGUUUAAAGCAGGCUCACGCUUGAAUACAUUAGCAUGGAAUAAUGAAAUAGGACGUUUGAUUCUAUUUUGUUGGUUUCUAGGAUCGACGUAAUGAUUAAUAGGGAUAGUUGGGGGCAUUAGUAUUCAAUUGUCAGAGGUGAAAUUCUUGGAUUUAUUGAAGACUAACUACUGCGAAAGCAUUUGCCAAGGAUG
RNAcentral lists this small RNA (391 nucleotides) under uncultured Glomus. RNAcentral's name for it is "SSU rRNA". It matches the Rfam family "Eukaryotic small subunit ribosomal RNA", at positions 569 to 966 of the family's 1831-position model. The record is from RNAcentral. Lineage: Eukaryota; Fungi; Glomeromycota; Glomeromycetes; Glomerales; Glomeraceae.